RNAcentral lists this long non-coding RNA (221 nucleotides) under Solanum tuberosum (potato). Its description in RNAcentral is "long non-coding RNA (STUB_LNC011380)". The record is from RNAcentral. Lineage: Eukaryota; Viridiplantae; Streptophyta; Magnoliopsida; Solanales; Solanaceae.
CGAAGCUUCACUAAGUCUAUCUUUACAGUUUAGACUUGCAUGCCUCCAUCGGUUGAAAAGGUCAAAGACCGGUUCUUCAUUUCGCUGACGAGUGUUUGUAAGUUCCACCAUGCUUACAGUACGUCUUGUGCUAUAGAAGCGGUUGAGAAAUUCUUGCUCCAUUUGUUCCCAACUAUCAAUGGAACCAGACUCAAGGUCCGUGUACCAAUCAAAAGCAUUGC